Lactarius deliciosus is the source of this 72-nucleotide non-coding RNA. NCBI's taxonomy places the organism in Eukaryota, Fungi, Basidiomycota, Agaricomycetes, Russulales, Russulaceae. The record is from the annotation of a GenBank genome assembly.
GACUCGGUAGCUCAGUGGUAGAGCAUACGAUUGCAGAUCGUGCGGUCCCGUGUUCGAACCACGGUCGGGUCU